GGAGCAUGUGGUUUAAUUCGAUGCAACGCGAAGAACCUUUACCUGGUCUUGACAUUCCACGGAAGUUUUCAGAGAUGAGAAUGUGCCUUCGGGAACCGUGAGACAGGUGCUGCAUGGCUGUCGUCAGCUCGUGUUGUGAAAUGUUGGGUUAAGUCCCGCAACGAGCGCAACCCUUAUCCUUUGUUGCCAGCGGUCCGGCCGGGAACUCAAAGGAGACUGCCAGUGAUAAACUGGAGGAAGGUGGGAUGACGUCAAGUCAUCAUGGCCCUUACGACCAGGGCUACACACGUGCUACAAUGGCGCAUACAAAGAGAAGCGACCUCGCGAGAGCAAGCGGACCUCAUAAAGUGCGUCGUAGUCCGGAUUGGAGUCUGCAACUCGACUCCAUGAAGUCGGAAUCGCUAGUAAUCGUGGAUCAGAAUGCCACGGUGAAUACGUUCCCGGGCCUU
This 449-nucleotide ribosomal RNA is filed under the name uncultured Enterobacteriaceae bacterium. RNAcentral's name for it is "bacterial SSU rRNA". It matches the Rfam family "Bacterial small subunit ribosomal RNA", at positions 934 to 1382 of the family's 1533-position model. The record is from RNAcentral. Lineage: Bacteria; Pseudomonadati; Pseudomonadota; Gammaproteobacteria; Enterobacterales; Enterobacteriaceae.